GAUGAACGCUGGCGGCGUGCCUAAUACGUGCAAGUCGAGCGAACAGAUGAGGAGCUUGCUCCUCUGACGUUAGCGGCGGACGGGUGAGUAACACGUGGAUAACCUACCUAUAAGACUGGGAUAACUUCGGGAAACCGGAGCUAAUACCGGAUAAUAUAUUGAACCGCAUGGUUCAAUAGUGAAAGACGGUUUUGCUGUCACUUAUAGAUGGAUCCGCGCCGCAUUAGCUAGUUGGUAAGGUAACGGCUUACCAAGGCAACGAUGCGUAGCCGACCUGAGAGGGUGAUCCGCCACACUGGAACUGAGACACGGUCCAGACUCCUACGGGAGGCAGCAGUAGGGAAUCUUCCGCAAUGGGCGAAAGCCUGACGGAGCAACGCCGCGUGAGUGAUGAAGGUCUUCGGAUCGUAAAACUCUGUUAUUAGGGAAGAACAAAUGUGUAAGUAACUAUGCACGUCUUGACGGUACCUAAUCAAAAAGCCACGGCUAACUACGUG
This 497-nucleotide ribosomal RNA is filed under the name uncultured bacterium. Its description in RNAcentral is "partial 16S ribosomal RNA". It matches the Rfam family "Bacterial small subunit ribosomal RNA", at positions 28 to 507 of the family's 1533-position model. The record is from RNAcentral.